GUAUCACUACAAUUGCUACUACCGUUAUGGUACUUGCACAACGUGCUUGCUGUUCUGUUAAUACAUACCAUCUAGUACUUCAUUUAGUUUUUAAUUUCACUUUAUGCUCUGUUGCUAUUAUUCCAUUUGACUUCUCCUUCAUCUUCUACUCUUUCUCUUUCUAGUUAGUUUUGGUUUCUUGUUUCUGAUAAAGAACCACAUCUUCAAACUCAGACACACAGUUUAACUCUUUCUGUUAUUUCUAUGUUGUUUAUGUUCAUAAAACAAGAGUAAAAUGAUGGGUUGUUCUUCUAAAGUUGGGAAUAAUAGUUAGGAUUGUUCUUUGUAGAUUUUGUUGAAUUGGCUGUUUGCGGUGUUCAUUUGGAAAUUUGUACAGUCAGAUAUUUUUAGCUAAUCCUUUUGUUGCAUGCUUGGGAUUUAUCAGUUCAUGAAACUGUAUUAUAAUUAUUGUUGUUUUUUUAUCUUAUUUUCUGUCUUGUGGGACUUCUUUCUUUAACUUUGUGAGUUGAAUAGGAAAACCCAUCUUUGCUUUACAUUUUCAUUGAGUUAUUAAUUAUCUGUAUGCUUUAAUUCUGGUCAUCUCUGCUUUAUAUAUCAGGCCUCGUCUGGUGCAAAUCUGUUCUCAUGUAGAGUGAAGAUAAUCAAGAAGAGGGAGAGGCUGAAUGCUCACUUCGGUCAAGUUGGACUACAGAAAAUAUGUAAUUUAUGGUUUGUAUGCAAAGAAAUUGCCAA
This 732-nucleotide long non-coding RNA is filed under the name Jatropha curcas. RNAcentral describes it as "long non-coding RNA (JCUR_LNC002367)". Lineage: Eukaryota; Viridiplantae; Streptophyta; Magnoliopsida; Malpighiales; Euphorbiaceae. The record is from RNAcentral.